GACGAACGCUGGCGGCGUGCUUAACACAUGCAAGUCGAACGGAAAGGCCCUGCUUUUGUGGGGUGCUCGAGUGGCGAACGGGGGAGUAACACGUGAGUAACCUGCCCUUGACUUUGGGAUAACUUCAGGAAACUGGGGCUAAUACCGGAUAGGAGCUCCUGCUGCAUGGUGGGGGUUGGAAAGUUUCGGCGGUUGGGGAUGGACUCGCGGCUUAUCAGCUUGUUGGUGGGGUAGUGGCUUACCAAGGCUUUGACGGGUAGCCGGCCUGAGAGGGUGACCGGCCACAUUGGGACUGCGAUACGGCCCAGACUCCUACGGGAGGCAGCAGUGGGGAAUAUUGCACAAUGGGCGGAAGCCUGAUGCAGCAACGCCGCGUGCGGGAUGACGGCCUUCGGGUUGUAAACCGCUUUCGCCUGUGACGAAGCGUGAGUGACGGUAAUGGGUAAAGAAGCACCGGCUAACUACGUG
This 468-nucleotide ribosomal RNA is filed under the name uncultured bacterium. Its description in RNAcentral is "partial 16S ribosomal RNA". It matches the Rfam family "Bacterial small subunit ribosomal RNA", at positions 28 to 507 of the family's 1533-position model. The record is from RNAcentral.